This 125-nucleotide transfer RNA is filed under the name Rosellinia necatrix. It matches the Rfam family "tRNA". Rfam says of the family: Transfer RNA (tRNA) molecules are approximately 80 nucleotides in length. Lineage: Eukaryota; Fungi; Ascomycota; Sordariomycetes; Xylariales; Xylariaceae. The record is from Rfam by way of RNAcentral.
GCCCGCUUGGCUCAGCGGUAGAGCGUAAGUUGAAUAUCAACUCAAAAACCUGACUCAUGAAUACUAAUUCGUCAUAGGCAUCACUAGUAAUGAUGAGGUCGUCAGUUCGACUCUGGCAGUGGGCA